GGUCAAACAUCCUAAUAGUGUUGUUAUGUUUAUAUUAUCCUCUUUUAUUAUAAUAAAAAUAUUUUAAAGGGUUUUUUACUUAUAUACUUGAACCCCAUUGUAUGCUUCAUAGAUAGCUGAAACCAAUUCAUCUUCACUCAGUAUAUCCCAGGAAAGACAGAAAGUUGGACACCCACGUGAGAUGCCAUUCACAGAAGAAAAAUCACACCUGUAUCCCAGAGGAGGAAAGACAGGCAUCACUGUAUUUUGAAAGCUGUAGUACUCUUGAAAAGGAGAUUGAAGAGGAUUUCAGAAAAUGGAAAGAUGUCCCUUGCUUUUGGUUAGGGAGAAUCAACAUUGUGAAAAUGGCCUUAUUCUCAAAACUGUUAUACAGAUUUAAUGCAAUCUCAAUCAAAAAAUCUUUAACUUAUCUUACAGAUCUAGAAAAAAAAAUCCCAUUUGGAAAUAGAAGAGACCUAGAGUAGCAAAAAAAUCCUCGGCAACUAAAGCAAGGCAGAAGGCCUCUCAAUCCCUGACUUGAAAUUAUACUACAAAGCUACAGUGAUAAAAUCAGCAAAGUAUUGGAAAAGCAAAACAAAACAAUAAAAACAGACCUAAGAAUCAAUGAAACAGGUUAGAAAAUGCAAACACAACUACAAAGACACUCAGUCAUCUGAUAUUUGACAAAGGGGCUAAACAGGUUCACUGGAAGAAAGCCUCUUUAAUAAAUGUUGCUGGAAAAAUUGGCUUUCCACGUGCCAAAGAUUGAAACUAGCGCCAUGUCUAUCACCAUACAGUAAACUCAAAAUGGAUCAAAGAUCUAAAUAUUAAAAUAGAAACACUAAAUCUGCUGGAAAACAAGGUAGUAGAAAUCUUGACGACAUAAGGGUAGGCAAAAGGUUCAUGAACAAAAUACAAACUACUUGGGAAGUAUUUCAAAAAAUCAACAACUGGGAUCUCAUCUUAUUAAAAAGUUUUUGCACUUUAAAAGAAAUUACCAACAGAGUGAAAAGAAAACCUACAGAAUGGAAAGAAUUUUAGCCAGCUAUCCCUCAGACAAAACAUUUAUGUCUAGAAUAUAUAAAGAACUGAAAAAUGUCAGACCCCCGAAAUUCAAAGACUCAGUACAAAAAUAGGUGUCUGAGAGGAAAAUGCACUUCUCAGAUGAAGAAAUACAAAAAUACAAAUAGCAAAUAAAUACAGGAAGACACACUCAAUGUCACUGGGCAUUCAAGUAUUGCUCAUUUCUAAAAGUUACUUCCUAGAAUCUGGCACAAAAUACAUGAAAAUAAAUAUUCUGUUGUUAUUCUAUAACAAGAUAAUUUCAUGCAAUAGUCCAUACUUCCAUUUUGGGAUUGUCAAUAUAAAAUUCAUCUUUGGUUAUGGUGGAUAAACUCAAAAGUGAGAAAACACAACAUAAAUGCUUUAAAAGAUUGUUUAGCACAAUAGUGAAGAAGAAAGUUUGAGAACUGACAGGACCCAACUUAAAAACUUACUAUAGAGCUGUGGUCACAAGGCAGUGUGGUAUUUUCAAGGUAAAUAGAACAGUGGAGUAGAAGUAAGAAUACAAAAUAGACCCACACAAUUACACUCAACUGACCUUUGAUGAAGAAACAGAGGCAAUUCCUGGAGAAAGGGUUGUCCUUGUAUAAAAGAUUCUGCAACAACAGGACAUCAUCUUGGGAGAAAAAUGAGUAUAGACAUUAACAUCCUCCACAAAAAUCAGCUCAAUCAACUCAGUCGGAUAGGACAGGAAAGCAGAAAACUACAAAAAGAACUAGGAAAAAAUAGAAGAGAAAAUCCAGGAGGCAGACCAUUAGAUAUAAUACCAAAGUAUAUUCCAUGAAAGGAAAAACUGAGUGAUUCAGGCUUCACUGACCUCAAAAACUCCUCUUUACUGAGAAGACACUUUUUAAAAACAUACAGACAAGCCCUGAGAGAAAUAUGCUCACAGUAUAUAUUUGAUAAAGAAGUUGUGCAUAAAAUAUACAACAGAAAAAAAUAGUAAUUUUUUUAAAGUUUAAAAACAAGCUAGAGAUCUGAUCAGUCACUCCACCAAAAAUGCACCAAUGGCCGUGGCAGCUAAGCAGACUACCAUUCAGGGAAUUCCAGAUUAAACCACCACAUACCUGUGAGGACCAGGGAAUCCAAAGCAGUGACAAUCCCCAGUGCUGGGGAGGGUGCAGAGUGGAGAAACACUCACUGCUGAUGUGAAGGCAGCAGUCUGACAACUGCUUCCAAAACUAAACAUACUCUUAGUACCCAAUCCAACAAUAGCACUCCUUAGAAUUCACCCAGCUGGAUUGAAAACUCCAUCCACACAAAACUUUGCACAAAGAUAUGCAUAAUUGUGAGGACCCAGAACAACCAAAUUAUCCCUCAUUCCAUGACUAGAUAAAUACACUAUGGUGCAUUCCAACAAUAGAAUAUUAUAUAACACUAAGCAGAAAUAUGCUAGCAAACCACAGAAAGCCAAGUGCAUAUUGUUAAAUGAAAUAGAUCAGUCUAAAAAGACCACACACUGUCUAAUUCCAGCUCCAUGACUUUGGAGACAAUGAAAAGAUUGGUGUUUACUAAGGUCGGGGAGAGAGGGGUAAGUAAGGGAUGAGACAAGAGAUCUUAAUGUAGAGAAACUAUUGUGUGCCUCCUUAGUGGUAGACACAGGUUGCUAUAUCUUUGUCAAAUUCAUAGCAUGUGUGGCACCAAGGAGGAGCCCCAGUGUGAAGCAUGAGCUUGGGGUGCUUCUAAAGGCCAAAACGGGUUGUUUGCUCACUGCAAGUGUGCCACCUUGUGGGGAGUGAUGCAGCUAGUGGCAGUAUUGUGCAUGUGCAGCUGCAGUGGUGUUAGAAACUCUGCUCAACUUUGCUGUGAAUCUAAAACUUCUUUAAAAAGUAAAAGUUAGCCAGGCAUGAUAGUAAGCCAGUGUCUGUAAUCCCAGCCUUCUAGGAGGCUGCCCGGCAGGAGCACAUAUUAAAGCCCAAGUCGGGUAAAAUUAGCGCCUUAGUGAGAUCCUGUCUCAAAAUAAAAGUAAAGAGCAGAGAGCGACUCCAAAAUGUAAAGAGGAGCUCAGGGCAUUCGGCCCCAGGUUUGCACACACACAUGAGUGCUCAGCACCCUGACCACUAGGUCACAGCUUGUAGGUGACAACAUCCAGGCCGGCCAGCCCCUGCUGUGUUCCCCUGUGUCAAGGGGGCAGAGACAUCAUCACCUGGACCAGAGGUCUAGGUCCAGCUUGGAGCCAUAGCACCUGCCUAGCAUGUGGAGGCCCUGAGUUCCAUCUCCAAUACUGGAGACAGGGCCAGGGAGAGACAAAGAGAAAGAGGGAGGAAGGAAGAAAGUGAAGAUGGAAGGAAUGGAGGGGAAAAAAAGGAAGGGAAGAGUGAUGGAAGGAAAGAAAGAGGGAAAGAAGGAAAGGAAGGGAAGAGUGAUGGAAGGAAGGAGAGAGGAAGGGAAGAAGGAAAGGAGGGCAGAAGGAAAACCAGCCAGUGCUGGCGCCCGAGCCACCUGGGAGUCGCAGCUUUCCAGCUAUGUGAUCAGCUCUCCUGUCAGUGAACUAACCAGCUGGCAUGAGGAUACCAGAUCCUGCUUCUGUCCGUCAAUCCAGACAUCCACGAAGAAGCUUCUCUUGCUCAGUCUUGACUGGAAACGGGAAUCCUCAAGCCUGAGGGUGGCCUCAGAAGCAGAGCCCAGCCCACAGGGCCUGACAGCAGCAGGAGGUCCUGACAGAUUUCUUAGCUAAGGUGCUGAAAACAGGGAAACGCCUGCAUAAGUGCAUUGGAAGGAAGGGACCACAAAAUAGUAGGACUUGAUAAGGUGUUCAUGUGUGUCUCAGAAACUGACUGGAACAUGUGCCACCAGUAUUUUUUUGAAUAGGAGUAACAAUACUUAGCCUUAAAAUGCUUCCAACCACCUCCUACGGUCCACCCCAAAGACAAAACCAUGCCAAAUGUGGAAAGUAGUUCACAGCACAGUUCAGUAGAUACAUAAUGAAGGCAUUGUCUUGAUGUAUAAAAGAACUGUGUUUAUAACAUUGUUGUGGAAAUCAGACGGAACAUAGGAAGAAAGGGCAUGGAGGAGGUUUAAGAGGAAGUUUAUUCCACCAGUGGGCUUGACUGAAGUCUCUCCCAAAGAGUCAGCCCCACCCUGUGGUCUUUGGGGGCUUUUAUGGGGAGAGCAGUGGGGAUAUACAAGGGUAGAUUUGUGUCCGUGUGAUUGGAGGGUUGGGUGACAUCUUGGGUUGCUAAGAGUGUUUAAGCAUUGUAAGUCACAUUGCAAGGCCAUCAGCUAUACAAAGCAUGGGUUUUACAGAGGAAGAAAUGUCCUGCUGCAUUUUAAGUUACGUUACAAAGCCAUCAGUUAUAGAAAGGCAAUAAACACAGGGGUUUCACAAAGGGGCAUUUCAAGUUACACUUUAAGGCCAUCUGUUAGACAAGCUUGCACAAAGGAAGGAAUGUCCUGUUAUCAAGCUUCUCCGGACACAGAGGUGUCUGCCUGGUCUUGCUGGGCUUCCUUGGCAGGCUGACUUGAAGGCUUUAUUUAAAAUUUUUGAUGGGUUCUGCCUGUGUGAAGCUCUGCCAGGCUCAGCAUGGCACCUGCCCAAAUUGGACAGCAUAUCCCUCCAACAUUAACUUCUGUGUUGUUCUUCCAAGCUGAAACGGAACUUCUCACUUUCCACGUGUACCAGCAUCCCCCAAUCAGCUCUCAACACGUCACUCUGCCCGCUUCUUCAAACCCUACCCCCUGUCAAACCCAAUAAAACCCCGCAGCUUCUUUGUCUGCCUUGGAGGGAGCUUGUGCUCUUCUCCAGCCCUCCCAUGACCACAAUAAAGGCCGUUUUUCCUUUUUUUUCUUUUUCUGCUUUUGCUUCUCUACCACAUCAAGGAAACACCUAACAAUUUUAACUUCUCUUUCAACGUUAAAGAAAUUUGGAAUGCAAACUGUAAUUGGAAUGUAAAAUAUUGCGUGAAAAACACACUGACAGCUAAUGAUAAGUAUUCACAGUGUAUCAGGCACGUGUCUAAGACAUUUUAGAUUAACUUUCUUCAAUCUCUUAAACACAUGGAGUAAACACUACAUUUUCCUAUUUCUGAACGGAGAAACUUUAGAUUCUAAAUCUUUAAGCAAAUUGUUGAUUACUCAGUCACAGAGAGCUGUGUGGCAGAAUCAGAAUGUGGAAUGUGUCACUCUGUCUUAAGAUCUGUCACUUAAAAUGGCUGUCAUGGUUAGUUUUUCCCAUUUCUGAGAUAAAAUACCCAACACCCGAAGUUAAGGAAAGAAAGGUUUAUUUAGCUCACAGGUUGUGGAAGUUUCAGUCUGUACUCAACUGGCUCCAACACAGGACAGCGUGGCAGAGGGGCCCCAGAGCAAAAGCAGCAAGAGCAAGAAGUGGGAGAGAGCAAGCCUCUUUUCCUCCCUUAUGUUGUAAACAGGCUGCCACCCCAGCCAGGGUGAGUGCAGCACUCACACCACCUCCCGACCCUCCUUUUGCACAGGCUGCAAAUGUUUACAGAGGGAGGACCCUGGCCCCCUGCUGAGACUUUUCAUUACACUUCUAAACUUCUCAAGUUGACACAGUGUAUCAGCCAUUAUAAGGACUGUGCUAUAUUAACAACACCCACAUACAUACAUGUGUGCAGAUAUGCAAGCUUAAAGAUUCCUCACUUACAAAAAAUAUACUAGAUUAACAACACACACGUACUCAGGUGUGUGUGGAUACACAGACGUAAAUGAAGAUCCCUUGCUUACAAUGACCAUACUAGAUUAUUGGCACACAUGCACAGAUGUGUGUGGAGAUGCAUGUAUAAAUGCUGGAAAUCUAUACAUUCAAUAUUAGCGAUCAUGUUAUUAAGCCUGGGACUCAAGAAUGUGGAAAAUCCUUCUUUAUAACUUAGUAAUGUUUACUCAUAAAACUUCUGCUGUUUCUAAGAUAUAAAUGCUAAGUCUUUUAUCUGAAGUCCCACCAUGCAUCCACACAGACAGAGGAUGAGGGGGUGGAGUCAGUGUGAGAAUCUGGCCCUUAACUGAGCAACCAUGCAGGAGCGGCUUCUCCCUCCGUGGGAGCCCUGUGCCGGCUCUGGGAGGCACUGUGGCCACGUCGUCCCACGGCCGGUAGUUCUCCUUCCAUUCCUUUUAUUCAGCACUUCUUUAUUCCUUUAGUGUCGUAUUUUUAACUGUCUAAAAUACAUCUGUUAUACAGUCUUUGAAUAUCAACGGAAAGAAAGUAGAGACAGCAAUGAUGUUCAGCUCCAUGGAGCACACAGAGAAGCCGGCUGGCGAGGAAGUGGAGGAAGUGGCCGAGGCAGUGUUUGUGGACCGUGUGGGUCGAGGGUUCCAGGCAGCUCCCCGUCAGGUGGGCCUGGCAGCGGCACCGGCUCAGGCAGUGCAGCCGCAACCCUGGACCCGGGCCAGGGAUCCAGGUCUGAUGCCCUCCUCCAUGAACAGAGAUGACAGUAGCACAGAGCUGUACAGUUGCUGUGAAGAUUAAUGAAAGUCACAUCCUAGGCAUAGGCAAGGACUUCCUGAACAGAGCCUAACGGUGCAAGAAAUAAUAACAAGAAUCAGCAAAUGGGAUCACAGUAAAUAAAAAACUUCUAUACUGCAAAGGAAACAACCAACAGACUGAAGAGACAACCUGCAAAAGGCAAAGAAAGUCUGCCACCUAUUUCUGAGACUAGAGGACUAGAUAGAGUCCUGUAUAGAGAGAAACUGUAUAGAGAGAACCAAAACAAUUAGACCUCUCAAAAUAAAAGGCCCAAUCAAAAGUAGGUACCUGGGGCAAAUAGGCACUUCUCAGCAGAAGGAAUACAAAUAGCCACUGAGUACGUGAAGGAAGUGCUCAACACUGCUGUUCAUUACAGAAAUGAAAUUAAAACAACAGUGAAAUGCCAUCUCAUUCCAGAAAAAAAUGGCUAUUUUCAAGAACUCAAAACCUCACAAGUGCUGGUGAGGUCAUAGGGGAAUAGAACCCUUAUACCUCAUUGGUGAGCAUAUAAUCUAGUACAACCACUGUAGAAAUCCACAUGGAGAAUCUCAAAAGGCUAAAACUGGAAAUUCCCUGUGACCCAGCCUCACUCUCUUGGGUCAGUUCCCAGAAGAAGUAAACAGAUUCUCCUACAGUGAUACAGCAUGCCAUGUUUGUUUCAGGGCAGCUCAGGAAAGCUACAUCGUGGACGUGGACUGCACACCCAUCCAUGGGCGACUGAACAAGGAAAUUGAGGCACAGAUGCACAGUGGUGCCCCAUUCAGCUGCAGGAAAGGCCAAGCUCAUCUCUAGAAGAAAAAGAAAUCUGAAGAUAAGUUAUGACCUAAAAUCUUGAUUCUGUUUUAUUUCUUUGGCAAAUUGCUCUGAGCAGACCCUGACAAAAAUAACUCCUGCUCUUUCCAGACGGAUGGCUCGCCAUGGUAAGGGCACAGCAAGCCUCCCUAAAUUGUGCUGUCAAAUGGAAAUUAGCGAUUGACCCGUGGAUCUCUUCUUAAUAAGAGCAUCUCUGUUGUAUUGAUUUAUAGGGAGCAUUAUUUCCUUUUGCAAUAUGAGAAGUGAUAAUUUUUCCUUGGAGGCACCUUAUGCUUUUAAGAGUUCCUGUAACGAAUGGAAUUUUAACAAGGCAGAAGCGAUUGUAUGUGAUUGGAGACUGUUUGUUCUGCACGGGAGAUUUGUUUAAUUGAACGCACUCCCAAAGAUGCCAGUGUGGCUAAUACACAUGAACACCAACACCCACCUUCCGAGAAUCGGAGCAGAGAAACAACACCAGGCAGCGGAAGCAGGGUGAUUUCGAUCCUGCCCAGAGAGAGUACAGCUGAUUUUAUUUUGGGGUCUCUUCAAAGACCCCCACAUCUUAAGGCUUUACAGAGUAGAACCUCGCUCUUGUCUGAUGAGCUUUCAAAGAUGGAGGAGCUCUACAUGGCCCUUGGUGGGCAUCAGGGUCCUAGAGCUGUCAAGCUGGGGGUGCUGCUCUCCCACCGUGAGCCCCCCUUUUCACCCUCUCCUGAUUGUCUUUCAAAAUGGAUGCAGGUCUGUUUUUGCUCAGGCAGGUGCCCUAUUAACCUCAGACUUUCAAAGGAGACCUUCAGCUCUACCCGAGUCACUCUCUGCUCCAACCUGCAGAUGGGAGCCUCUGGAAAGCACCCCCAGUCCCCUGAAGGGUACUCAGGGCACCCAGUCAACCAUGCUGCCUGCUGGCCUGGCCUCACCCAAUGCUGUGCUGAGCUUACCCACAACAGGGAAGGUACUGUGUGCCCUGGAAGAUAACUCUUCAUCUUUAAGUCAGAGGCCAUGAGGUCCCUGGUCAGGUCCCUGCCCCAGAGAAUUUUUACGCCCAUUCCACCUCCUGUUAGCAGGGCAGCACAGACACUCAUGAGCAACAGUAAGAGAAAACAGAGAGGCAAGGGGCUGGAAUGGGGCUUAUGCAAAUGGCGCUGUCAAGGGUGAUUCCAAGUGCACACUGUGAUUGCUCCUGAAAGUCCUCCUCGGUGCUCACAAAAAAUUAGUUGUGCAAAUUCGGAAAAUUUAGUCUACCUUUAGCUUGUGGACAUGGAAUUACAUAAUUGAAAGGUUUCCCUUUUUGCUUAUCUGCUAGAAAGUUUUUGGUGACCCAGAUCACUGAACUUUGCCUCAUUUCUGGUACAAUUUUAUGACUAUCUUUGGUUUACUAUCCUCUUUGUCACUUUCACCAUUAAUAUUGCUUAUCUUGGAUUUCAGCUCCUUUUGUAGGCUUCCACAAAUCUUUUAUGGAAAUAGACAAAGCAUAUGUAAGCAAAGGCCAGGGCUAGGCGACUGUCCCAGAGGAGACAGCACCACCCACUGAAGAGUGGCCACAGGUUAGAGGUCCACGCUUUCCCAACAGUCCACAUAGAAACCACUGUCUACAUCUCCCGAUGCCAUUUAUAGUCUUACUAAGCAAAACAACAAAACGAAAUUGUAUAAAGGAAAAAUACAAGGAUAAUCCGCUGACCAAAAAUUCCUUAGUUGUAAAAUAAAAGAAUAUAAAAAUAAUGGAGAAUUCCUAAAAUAAAUGGAUAAAGGGGAGACACUAUUAGAGGAAACAAAAAUGACAUGUUUUUCACCAUCUCAAUUUAUGUAAAUAAUGAUAACCUCUGUUUAAAUGACUACUCAUGAGUAAUUCCCUAGAGAUACUCACUUCUGUUUUUUUCCAAGUGAUUCUACAAUAGCAAUAGUAAUAUCAGGAGUAAUAACCAGUAUCACAAUAUUGACUGCAUCUUAUAAAUCUGUAAGACCAAAUUAUGAAGUCAGAAACUCGGACUGGUUAAGUCUUUCGUUUUCUCUUCUAAAACUGUUUAACUGAUUUAACAUCUAAGUGUGUAUGGUGAAGGGGAACGAGGGAUCACAUUCCUGCCCACACAGCACAUCUGACAGGCUCAAGGCACACACUGCUUUAAUGCCUUUACAUUAACCAUGUGGAUCUACAGUUAAGAAGUAAUAUAUCACACAGUUUGUCAGGAAAAUAGAUCACAUGGUAAUUGUUUUUCCACAAUUUUCUUUUUAAAAAUCAGGAUUACUUUUCAGCGCAUGUAAGAAUUUAUUUCCAGAAAUAACUCAGCUCAAAUGCUUCUCUAAAGCUCUCGUUGAAGAUUGAUCCUUGGGCUGACUUCUGGCAGUGCCCUGCACUGAGUUUUUGACUUGAAGUGUGGGAGAUGGCAUGGAGUUGGGGUGAGGUUGCCUCUAGACACGAAGAGACGCACACAAGUACAGACAUGAAAUGAUGGGAUACAGAGAAGGGUGGUUCGUUUACUGUGGCACCAGAGCUGUGGGGGUGGAAUCUCAGAGGACAGACAGGGCCAAAUAUACCGACAGCAACACUUUUGUAAGCUAUGGCGAGUGUUAUAAACUUUAUGGGCAGUAGAGUAAUGAAAGCCAUUUCCUCAAUUAAUUGGCAUUAUCGAAAUGUUUUUAGAAUACUAAGGGAUGGAUGGGAGGAGGAGUGUUUAGAAAGGAAAACACCCAGCUUGGAAAGGUGGGGAGGGGAUAGAUAGAGGGAGAGUAACAUGCACCUCACACAGCUGGGGAUCCCCAACAGCAGGGCCAGUAUCAUCCUCAGAAAACUCUCCUGUAUUUUACUAACAACCAAAAGAGAGAAGCCCAGAGGCUUUGCAUAGCAAUUAGGAAAGGGAGCCAUUAAUUAUCCUGAAUUUAUUAAUCCAUAUUACACAUAUAUUGUUGAAAUAUUACAGCAUAAAUGUAUAUAAUUGCUACACUUGUUAAUUUUUAUGAAGAUUUAAGAAUAUGGAAAUGUGAACUGUCUUGAUUUGAUCAUUACACACUGUAUACACACAAGCUGAAUGAUCAUAUUGUGGCCCAUAAAUAUGUACAACUAAAUUAAUAAUUAACAAAAACUAUUGUUUAAAAAAGUAAAAGGACAAAUCUGAAGUACCAGGCUUUAGGAAUUUUUCAGGAGCAGGAAGAGCUGUGAUGAACACUGCUGGGAGUCAGUGGGAAUGGAUUACAGGGCCACUCCAGAUGUGUGGUCAGUAGCCAGUGAAUAGUUAUAUUAAUAGUAAUAAUCCCUACCUGCUGUGAGGUGAGCAGCUGUUAUAGUCAGAGUUUGCAAAGGAAUGGAAAUGAUGUAAGACAUACAUUUAUAGUUUUAUCUUACAAAAAGUCAAAUACAGAAGAGUGCAAGAGAUCUGUCCCUGCGCUAGAUACCUAAGAAUCCAGCAGCUGCAUGAGUCCAGCUGGAGGCCUAGAGCUCACAGCAAUGUCUCAUCCAAGUCCAUCAAGGAUCUGCCCUGGGAAAGCCCAAGGGCCAGUGGUGGAAGCUGGACCAUCUGCACCGGUGGGGUGAAGGAUCUGUGCCAGCGGGCGAGGGAUCUGCACUGGAGCCAGGAUACAAUGCUCAAGACAGAGGCAAGCAUCAGAGUUCCCUCAAAGAGAACAGCAGUCUGGCCACAGGGAGGACCCACACUCCUCCUCAGAAGCGAACAGCUGGGUUCCUGUCAGGAAAACCAGCCAAGCCAAGCUUGUUCUGGGGAAUUAUCAGUGUGCAGUGCUCCCCUCUGGUCCUCCUUUUAUGCUGCUGACAAUAGUCCUCAGGUGGGUCUUUUACCUUAGCACCAGGCUGACCCAGUUCCACUGGCCACCAGUUAACCUGCCUCGAUGGCCCUCCAUGAUGCUGCUGCCUUGCAAUGGGCCCGGAACCACAGAGUCACCAAACCAGGCAGACACCACUGCAACCUGCACUAUGGCCAGGUCAACUGCUUCAAAUUCUUCCUUAAAAUCUGCCUGGCUGCUCACAGCCUUUUUGAAAUAAGAUUCGGCAUCUAAAAGUUUCUUUCUUCAUUUUCCAGUAUGAGAGACUCAGCUUCUGAGCUGGAUCUGUGUUUGGCUUCCCCCUCCUGCAGUGGUAGGGGCUUCCCCACACCCUACUGUGGACCUGGCUCUGCAGGCUCUGAGAGCCGUUGCAGGGACCCCACUUACCACGCAAGUCCUCACACUCCCCUGUCCAGCCUUCUGUGCUGGUUUGGGAGCUGUUUCUCCUUGCAAACUCAGACCUAGAGAUCAGAAUGGAGUCACCAUUCCUCACUUGGGGGAGCUGUCACCUCCUUUCUGCUCUUCCUACUUUCUGGCCACAUCUGUGUAAAGAGCCCCUUGAUUAAACUGUUAUCAAAUUGC
Long non-coding RNA from Cavia porcellus (domestic guinea pig), 11605 nucleotides. RefSeq lists it as uncharacterized. The record is from RefSeq and is a predicted model, not a curated record. NCBI's taxonomy places the organism in Eukaryota, Metazoa, Chordata, Mammalia, Rodentia, Caviidae. The transcript is spliced from 2 exons.